UACAGAGGUCUCAAGCGUUGUUCGGAUUCAUUGGGCGUAAAGGGUGCGUAGGCGGCGCGGUAAGUCGGGUGUGAAAUCUCGGGGCUUAACUCCGAAACUGCAUUCGAUACUGCCGUGCUUGAGGACUGGAGAGGAGACUGGAAUUCCCGGUGUAGCGGUGAAAUGCGUAGAUAUCGGGAGGAACAUCAGUGGCGAAGGCGGCCUUCUGGUCCAGUACUGACACUCAAGUGCGAAAGCGUGGGGAGCAAACAGG
RNAcentral lists this ribosomal RNA (253 nucleotides) under uncultured bacterium. RNAcentral describes it as "partial 16S ribosomal RNA". It matches the Rfam family "Bacterial small subunit ribosomal RNA", at positions 524 to 776 of the family's 1533-position model. The record is from RNAcentral.